Molecule: long non-coding RNA, 64 nt
Organism: Amblyraja radiata (thorny skate)
Lineage: Eukaryota; Metazoa; Chordata; Chondrichthyes; Rajiformes; Rajidae
Exons: 3
Source: RefSeq, a predicted model, not a curated record
AAGUAAGGAAUCUAAAAAAGGUAAGGCUAAACAAGAAGGAAAGGGAAUGGGGAUUGCUGAUGAU